AGUGAACGCUGGCGGUAGGCCUAACACAUGCAAGUCGAACGGCAGCACAGUAAGAGCUUGCUCUUACGGGUGGCGAGUGGCGGACGGGUGAGGAAUACAUCGCAAUCUACUUUUUCGUGGGGGAUUACGUAGGGAAACUUACGCUAAUACCGCAUACAACCUACGGGUUAAAGCAGGGGAUCUUCGGACCUUUCGCGAUUCAAUUAGCCGAUGUCGGAUUAGCUAGUUGGCGGGGUAAAGGCCCACCAAGGCGACGAUCCGUAGCUGGUCUGAGAGGAUGAUCAGCCACACUGGAACUGAGACACGGUCCAGACUCCUACGGGAGGCAGCAGUGGGGAAUAUUGGACAAUGGGCGAAAGCCUGAUCCAGCAAUACCGCGUGAGUGAAGAAGGCCUUCGGGUUGUAAAGCCCUUUUGUUGGGAAAGAAAAGCAGCAGGUUAAUACCCCGCUGUUCUGACGGUACCCAAAGAAUAAGCACCGGCUAACUUCGUG
RNAcentral lists this ribosomal RNA (492 nucleotides) under uncultured bacterium. RNAcentral describes it as "partial 16S ribosomal RNA". It matches the Rfam family "Bacterial small subunit ribosomal RNA", at positions 29 to 507 of the family's 1533-position model. The record is from RNAcentral.